RNAcentral lists this ribosomal RNA (468 nucleotides) under uncultured bacterium. RNAcentral describes it as "partial 16S ribosomal RNA". It matches the Rfam family "Bacterial small subunit ribosomal RNA", at positions 28 to 507 of the family's 1533-position model. The record is from RNAcentral.
GACGAACGCUGGCGGCGUGCUUAACACAUGCAAGUCGAACGGAAAGGCCCUGCUUUUGUGGGGUGCUCGAGUGGCGAACGGGUGAGUAACACGUGAGUAACCUGCCCUUGACUUUGGGAUAACUUCAGGAAACUGGGGCUAAUACCGGAUAGGAGCUCCUGCUGCAUGUUGGGGGUUGGAAAGUUUCGGCGGUGGGGGAUGGACUCGCGGCUUAUCAGCUUGUUGGUGGGGUAGUGGCUUACCAAGGCUUUGACGGGUAGCCGGCCUGAGAGGUUGACCGGGGACAUGGGGACUAAGAUACGGACCAGAAUCCUACGGGAGGCAGCAGGGGGGAAUAUGGCGCAAUGGGCGGAAGCCUGAUACGGCAACGCCGCGUGCGGGAUAACGGCCUUCGGGUUGUAAACCGCUUUCGCCUGUGACGAAGCGUGAGUGACGGUAAUGAGUAAAGAAGCACCGGCUAACUACGUG